Long non-coding RNA from Ctenocephalides felis (cat flea), 278 nucleotides. RefSeq lists it as uncharacterized. NCBI's taxonomy places the organism in Eukaryota, Metazoa, Arthropoda, Insecta, Siphonaptera, Pulicidae. The record is from RefSeq and is a predicted model, not a curated record. The transcript has 3 exons.
AAAGAAUGCACCGGAUAUCACACAUUAUAUGGAUUAAGUGUUGAAGAGAACAUGAAUUGUAAUUCAGAUCUUGAAAAUUAAUAGGAUAAAAUCAAUGCAAGAAAAUUGAGUGUGUGUUUAUGGAAUAAUUAUCUCUGUCAUAUGAUCGUAGGAACUACAUAGUCAUUAACUUCAAAUAAUGAGUAUGCUUAGAGAUACAUUAACAGAUGCAAGUGAGUUGAACAUAUUUAACGCAAGACUUAACUUUGCCAAGUCUGAUUUAACUGAAAUUGCCAAGA